RNAcentral lists this ribosomal RNA (301 nucleotides) under uncultured bacterium. RNAcentral describes it as "partial 16S ribosomal RNA". It matches the Rfam family "Bacterial small subunit ribosomal RNA", at positions 509 to 809 of the family's 1533-position model. The record is from RNAcentral.
CAGCCGCCGCGGGAAUACGAAGGGGGCUAGCGUUGCUCGGAAUGACUGGGCGUAAAGGGCGCGUAGGCGGAUUGUUUAGUUAGGCGUGAAAUUCCUGGGCUUAACCUGGGGACUGCGCUUAAUACAGGCAGUCUAGAGUGAGGAAGAGUGUUGUGGAAUUCCCAGUGUAGAGGUGAAAUUCGUAGAUAUUGGGAAGAACACCGGUGGCGAAGGCGGCAACCUGGUCCUUGACUGACGCUGAGGCGCGAAAGCGUGGGGAGCAAACAGGAUUAGAUACCCGCGUAGUCCCUGUCUCUUAUAA